RNAcentral lists this ribosomal RNA (468 nucleotides) under uncultured bacterium. RNAcentral describes it as "partial 16S ribosomal RNA". It matches the Rfam family "Bacterial small subunit ribosomal RNA", at positions 28 to 507 of the family's 1533-position model. The record is from RNAcentral.
GACGAACGCUGGCGGCGUGCUUAACACAUGCAAGUCGAACGGAAAGGCCCUGCUUUUGUGGGGUGCUCGAGUGGCGAACGGGUGAGUAACACGUGAGUAACCUGCCCUUGACUUUGGGAUAACUUCAGGAAACUGGGGCUAAUACCGGAUAGGAGCUCCUGCUGCAUGGUGGGGGUUGGAAAGUUUCGGCGGUUGGGGAUGGACUCGCGGCUUAUCAGCUUGUUGGUGGGGUAGUGGCUUACCAAGGCUUUGACGGGUAGCCGGCCUGAGAGGGUGACCGGCCACAUUGGGACUGGGGUACGGCCCGGACUCCUACGGGAGGCAGCAGUGGGGAAUAUUGCACAAUGGGCGGAGGCCUAAUGCGGCAACGCCGCGUGCGGGAUGACGGCCUUCGGGUUGUAAACCGCUUUCGCCUGUAACGAAGCGUGAGUGACGGUAAUGGGUAAAGAAGCACCGGCUAACUACGUG